RNAcentral lists this ribosomal RNA (162 nucleotides) under Indigofera decora. RNAcentral's name for it is "5.8S ribosomal RNA". It matches the Rfam family "5.8S ribosomal RNA". From Rfam's summary of the family: 5.8S ribosomal RNA (5.8S rRNA) is a component of the large subunit of the eukaryotic ribosome. It is transcribed by RNA polymerase I as part of the 45S precursor that also contains 18S and 28S rRNA. RNAcentral also lists the same sequence under 2 other names. The record is from RNAcentral. Lineage: Eukaryota; Viridiplantae; Streptophyta; Magnoliopsida; Fabales; Fabaceae.
AAAUGACUCUCGGCAACGGAUAUCUCGGCUCUUGCAUCGAUGAAGAACGUAGCGAAAUGCGAUACUUGGUGUGAAUUGCAGAAUCCCGUGAACCAUCGAGUCUUUGAACGCAAGUUGCGCCCAAAGCCAUUAGGUUGAGGGCACGCCUGCCUGGGUGUCACA